CUCUUAUCAAGAGAGGUGGAGGGACUGGCCCAAUGAAACCCGGCAACAACGUCUGAAGAGACGGAAUGUGCCAAUUCCUGCAGAAGUUCGGCUUCUGGCAGAUAAGAG
RNAcentral lists this non-coding RNA (108 nucleotides) under Thermincola carboxydiphila JR. Its description in RNAcentral is "Thermincola potens JR SAM riboswitch aptamer (S box leader)". It matches the Rfam family "SAM riboswitch aptamer (S box leader)". From Rfam's summary of the family: The SAM riboswitch is found upstream of a number of genes which code for proteins involved in methionine or cysteine biosynthesis in Gram-positive bacteria. RNAcentral also lists the same sequence under 1 other name. The record is from Rfam by way of RNAcentral. Lineage: Bacteria; Bacillati; Bacillota; Clostridia; Eubacteriales; Thermincolaceae.